Molecule: long non-coding RNA, 369 nt
Organism: Cyprinodon tularosa
Lineage: Eukaryota; Metazoa; Chordata; Actinopteri; Cyprinodontiformes; Cyprinodontidae
Exons: 3
Source: RefSeq, a predicted model, not a curated record
GAGGCAGAGGACUUCUCUCCAGUGCCAGAGUGUUUGCCAGUAACGAUUGAACCUGCCUGAAACCUGAAAUCCUGAAGAGUUUCUCUGCCAGUUAUCUGCCUGUCCGUUCUCAGAAGAACCCUAGAGAAUUAUUCCUGUCAAAGCCCUGCCUGCCCGCUCUCAGAAGAUUCUGGAAGGAAACUCAGAUCAGUUAUCUGCCAACACUCAAAUUAAGCUCUGCCUCUGCCUAGCCCUCAGGCUGCCUACAGCCUCUGGACCCUCAAGGUUCCCCCCCUCAGCCACUCUGCUCAACUCCAGAACAGUGAACCCACUCGUGGCCAGUCCUGGAUCUAAUAACUCUGUGUGUUUUCAGAACCCACUCGUAACCAG